CAUUAUUGUAACCAAAGCGUGAGAGGCGCUCNAAGGCUGUCGCCGACUUGAAAGGGUCGUGCACGUCUGAGGGUGUCCUCUCGCGUUAAAUCCAUCUCACCCUUUUGUGCACCACCGCGUGGGCCCCCUCUUGCCGAGAGGGCUCACGUUUUCACACAAACCCCCUUAUGUAAAAGUGUAGAAUGACACGAUUUGUUUUGCGAUGACAUGCAAUCAAUACAACUUUCAACAACGGAUCUCUUGGCUCUCGCAUCGAUGAAGAACGCAGCGAAAUGCGAUACGUAAUGUGAAUUGCAGAAUUCAGUGAAUCAUCGAAUCUUUGAACGCACCUUGCGCCCCUUGGCAUUCCGAGGGGCACACCCGUUUGAGUGUCGUGAAAUUCUCAACCUCCUUGGUUUCUUCUGGAAGCCAAAGGAGGCUUGGACUUUGGAGGCCUUUGCUGGACCAUGAAAGCCAGCUCCUCUCAAAUGAAUUAGCAGGGUCCCCUUUGCCGAUCCUGGGCGUGUGAUAAGAUACCUCCGCGUCUUGGAUUUUGGCUCUGUCGCUUUUUGGGACCUGCUUCCAAUCGUCUCUUGAGGAGACAACGUUCGAGCAUGCCUCGACCACGAACCCUUGACCUCAAAUCGGGUGAGACUACCCGCUGAACUUAAGCAUAUCAAUAAGCG
RNAcentral lists this ribosomal RNA (665 nucleotides) under uncultured Lactarius. Its description in RNAcentral is "eukaryotic LSU rRNA". The stretch from base 221 to 374 matches the Rfam family "5.8S ribosomal RNA". Lineage: Eukaryota; Fungi; Basidiomycota; Agaricomycetes; Russulales; Russulaceae. The record is from RNAcentral.